This 72-nucleotide transfer RNA is filed under the name Ixodes scapularis (black-legged tick). Its description in RNAcentral is "tRNA-Pro for anticodon UGG". It matches the Rfam family "tRNA". Rfam says of the family: Transfer RNA (tRNA) molecules are approximately 80 nucleotides in length. Their secondary structure includes four short double-helical elements and three loops (D, anti-codon, and T loops). Lineage: Eukaryota; Metazoa; Arthropoda; Arachnida; Ixodida; Ixodidae. The record is from RNAcentral.
GGCCCGUUGGUCUAGGGGUAUGAUUCUCGCUUUGGGUGCGAGAGGUCCCGGGUUCAAAUCCCGUACGGGCCC